Molecule: long non-coding RNA, 792 nt
Filed under: Macaca fascicularis (crab-eating macaque)
Lineage: Eukaryota; Metazoa; Chordata; Mammalia; Primates; Cercopithecidae
Description: lncRNA (ENSMFAG00000065744.1)
Source: RNAcentral
GCAGAGAACAGAACUUUCCAAAGCGUGAAGUUCAAGAGUCCGAAUAUCUGAUUCUACUCAUUUUCAAAACUGUGUCACCAAAUCCUGUUCAGUUCCUAAAGCCCCACCCUCAGAUUCCCAUGUGCCUGUCUUCAAACAUGGUUGGCAUCUGUUGAGUCAAAGGAGCCAGGAGGUGGAGACUGAGAAGAUUUAGAAGCUCUGAUGAAGUGGAUGGAGAAUGGAACCAACUGAGGUUAUGUAGAAUUGGCUCCUGAGGGCCAGAUAACAUCAGGAAUCACGUGCUGGUGAUGGAGGAGCCAGAUAGGAUGGUAAUUUCCCAUGAAAUCUGAGUGGGAGAAGAUCAGGAGAAGGAAACACUAAAGAUAGAGACAGAAGGCAGAAACUUGAUGGAGCCAGGUCAUGGAGUAGGCAGGAGAUGGGAGCAAAGGUAAAAUACAGGUGGAGUUUGCAACACCAGGGCUCCUUCCGCGUUGGAAAGGGUUGACCAUCAAAAGGAAAUCUAUGCCAUUUACCCAGUGGAGAAAUAAAUCUUCCUUUACUCACUUUUGCCCUGGCUCCUAUGUAAGAAGUCCAAAUGAACCCUGUUUCAUCUUAUUUCAUCUUUGGAAUUCCAGGAUUCUGUUUGGAAUUAUGACUCUGACUGCCUCUGGAACGUGUUGCAUCAGGAAAACUCACCAAGACUCAAACCAAGACAGAGAAGAAAAUGAAUAUGGAAAGAUGAGGAUGUGGCCUAAAUGAGUAAGUGCAACAAAACUAUUUAUCAUUUCAGUUAUAUUUUCUGACAGUCCCUUA